Molecule: long non-coding RNA, 356 nt
Filed under: Hordeum vulgare
Lineage: Eukaryota; Viridiplantae; Streptophyta; Magnoliopsida; Poales; Poaceae
Description: long non-coding RNA (HVUL_LNC004185)
Source: RNAcentral
CGAGGCGGUGCCCGCGGUGGCGGCCGAGGAGGCGAGCAGCUCCGGCCCGACCAAGUUCUCCGUGAAAAUUCCCGUCGGCGACCGCCACGUAAGCCGCUAGCCUAUACCCCUUCUGUUCCUCCAUUUCCGCGCGCAAUGCCCUGUUAAGUGUAUGCGCAUUGCAGUAUUGGGAUUUUGAACUCUGUCGCGCGACAUUCGGUUGUUUCAGUGUGCACCUUUUUGUAAGGUAACCAUGUAUGUGCGCGUUGCCACGGGGACCAAAUGUUUUUUUAACACAACAAGAGGACUAUACGGGACAAAGCUUCAUGCAAAACAAUUAGACAAAAUAAUAGUAUUAUGUUUUGGUUGUAAAUCAU